This 117-nucleotide ribosomal RNA is filed under the name Lepisosteus oculatus (spotted gar). Lineage: Eukaryota; Metazoa; Chordata; Actinopteri; Semionotiformes; Lepisosteidae. The record is from RNAcentral.
GCCAGCAACCAUAUCACCCUGUAGCUCACAACUGACUACCCACUGAAGCUAAGCAGGGUUGAGCCUGGUCAGUACCCAGGUGGGUGACCUCCAGUGAAGCUAUGGUUGCUGCUGGAA